RNAcentral lists this non-coding RNA (145 nucleotides) under Pontibacillus chungwhensis. RNAcentral describes it as "FMN sequence". It matches the Rfam family "FMN riboswitch aptamer (RFN element)". Rfam says of the family: The RFN element is a highly conserved domain that is found frequently in the 5'-untranslated regions of prokaryotic mRNAs that encode for flavin mononucleotide (FMN) biosynthesis and transport proteins. This element is a metabolite-dependent riboswitch that directly binds FMN in the absence of proteins. The record is from RNAcentral. RNAcentral also lists the same sequence under 1 other name. Lineage: Bacteria; Bacillati; Bacillota; Bacilli; Caryophanales; Bacillaceae.
UAGUUCCUUCGGGGUCGGGUGCAAAUCCCAACCGGCGGUGAUCAAGAUUCGUCUUGCUAGCCCGCGACCCGCAGAGCAUGCUCUUGCGGUUGAUUUGGUGAGAAACCAGAGCCGACGGUAAAAGUCCGGAUGGGAGAAGGAAUAA